ACCUACUAUAGUUUAUAUAAAACGUUGAAUUGCAAGUUCAAAAAUGAAGCUAACCUUCUAGUAAGUU
RNAcentral lists this transfer RNA (67 nucleotides) under Neverita didyma. Its description in RNAcentral is "tRNA-Cys". The record is from RNAcentral. RNAcentral also lists the same sequence under 1 other name. Lineage: Eukaryota; Metazoa; Mollusca; Gastropoda; Littorinimorpha; Naticidae.